This 397-nucleotide ribosomal RNA is filed under the name uncultured bacterium. RNAcentral's name for it is "partial 16S ribosomal RNA". It matches the Rfam family "Bacterial small subunit ribosomal RNA", at positions 523 to 918 of the family's 1533-position model. The record is from RNAcentral.
AUACGUAGGGGGCGAGCGUUGUCCGGAAUGAUUGGGCGUAAAGGGCGCGUAGGCGGCCCGGUAAGUCUGGAGUGAAAGUCCUGUUUUUAAGAUGGGAAUUGCUUUGGAUACUGUCGGGCUUGAGUGCAGGAGAGGUAAGUGGAAUUCCCAGUGUAGCGGUGAAAUGCGUAGAGAUUGGGAGGAACACCAGUGGCGAAGGCGACUUACUGGACUGUAACUGACGCUGAGGCGCGAAAGUGUGGGGAGCAAACAGGAUUAGAUACCCUGGUAGUCCACACCGUAAACGAUGAAUGCUAGGUGUAGGGGGUAUCGACCCCUUCUGUGCCGCAGUCAACACAAUAAGCAUUCCGCCUGGGGAGUACGAUCGCAAGAUUGAAACUCAAAUGAAUUGGCGGGG